RNAcentral lists this non-coding RNA (22 nucleotides) under Arabidopsis thaliana (thale cress). Lineage: Eukaryota; Viridiplantae; Streptophyta; Magnoliopsida; Brassicales; Brassicaceae. The record is from RNAcentral.
AUUAAAACAAAAGUCGUCUGCA